AAUGCGUCCCCCGAAAAGCAUUUAAUAGAGUAGGGA
Molecule: non-coding RNA, 36 nt
Organism: Tenacibaculum mesophilum
Lineage: Bacteria; Pseudomonadati; Bacteroidota; Flavobacteriia; Flavobacteriales; Flavobacteriaceae
Source: Rfam